CAAACUUGAGAGUUUNAUCCUGGCUCAGAACGAACGCUGGCGGCAGGCCUAACACAUGCAAGUCGAACGCUGUAGCAAUACAGAGUGGCAGACGGGUGAGUAACGCGUGGGAACGUGCCUUUCGGUUCGGAAUAACUCAGGGAAACUUGAGCUAAUACCGUAUACGCCUUCGGGGGAAAGAUUUAUUGCCGAAAGAUCGGCCCGCGUCCGAUUAGCUAGUUGGUGAGGUUAAGGCUCACUAAGGCGACGAUCGGNAGCUGGUCUGAGAGGAUGAUCAGCCACACUGGGACUGAGACACGGCCUAGACUUCUACGGGAGGCAGCAGUGGGUAAUAUUGGACAAUGGGCGCAAGCCUUAUCCAGCUAUGCUGUGUGAGUGAUGAAGGCUUUAGGGUUGUAAAGYUUUUUCGCUAGGGACGAUAAUUUGAUACUGGAGGUCUCGAGUCCGGGAGAGGUGAGUGGAACUGCGAGUGUAGAGGUGAAAUUCGUAGAUAUUCGCAAGAACACCAGUGGCGAAGGCGGNUCACUGGCCCNNNACUGACGCUGAGGUGCNNAAGCGUGGGGAGCAAACAGGAUUAGAUACCCUNGUAGUCCACGCCGUAAACGAUGGAUGCNRGCCGUUGGGGAGCUUGCUNNNCAGUGGCGCCGAACGCUUUAAGCAUCCUGCCNGGGGNGUACGGCCGCAAGACGCGCAGAACCUUACCAGCUUUUGACAUGCCCGGUAUGAUCGCCAGAGAUGGCUUUCUUCCGCAAGGGGCCGGUCACAGGUGCUGCAUGGCUGUCGUCAGCUCGUGUCGUGAGAUGUUGGGUUAAGUCCCGYAACGAGCGCAACCCUUGCCCUUAGUUGCCAUCAUUCAGUUGGGCACUCUAGNNGGACUGCCGGUGAUAAGCCGCGAGGAAGGUGGGGAUGACGUUAAGUCCUUAUGGCUCUUACAGGUUGGGCUACACACGUGCUACAAUGGCGGUGACAAUGGGACGCGAAAGGGUGACCUGGAGCUAAUCUCAAAAAACCGUCUCAGUUCGGAUUGCACUCUGCAACUCGAGUGCAUGAAGGUGGAAUCGCUAGUAA
This 1068-nucleotide ribosomal RNA is filed under the name Methylocystis pyriformis. Its description in RNAcentral is "bacterial SSU rRNA". It matches the Rfam family "Bacterial small subunit ribosomal RNA", at positions 1 to 1341 of the family's 1533-position model. The record is from RNAcentral. Lineage: Bacteria; Pseudomonadati; Pseudomonadota; Alphaproteobacteria; Hyphomicrobiales; Methylocystaceae.